GGGGCAGCUGAAACGAAGCCUGACAUUCGCCUCCCCAGCUCCUCCCUCCUUCCCUCUCCCCCCCCAUCCGCCCCCUCCAGGUCACGUGCUUCCAGUCCGGGCACCGACGGACUAUUUCUCCCUUUCCGCGGAAGGACAUAAAUGACAUCGCAAACUCAAGUCACCUUCGACUUCAGCUGUACCACGCCUUUUUCUCGCCUCAUAGCCCAAGACAGAAAGUUUGCCAGAUACACAGUGCUUGAGCGCCCUGACCACUAAUUCGGGAGUGGCCCCUUUAAAUGCAAAUGAACCGCCUUCUCGCUCUCGCCCCCCCCACCCCCAGCCUAACUUCGCUCCUCGUGCCCAGACUCCGCCAGCUGCCAUUGACGUCACGCGUGCGUCAGCGUCGCCAGCCCAACCAGACGGCACGUGGGGGGAAGAAGGUGGCCUUAAAGGGCCAGACGCCUUCGGCUUGCCGGGUUGCUGUUCUGAGUUUGGCCUUGAGAAAGAGGAAUGAGAUGAGAGGGGCGCAGGAAGUCAGGCGUGCAGCCAGAGUUAUCAAGAAAGAGCCGAGAAAGCAUCUUCUGUUGGAGAGGUGAGUAAUGACAGCAGGGGACAGAGGGGCUGUCUUCUCCCAGGUCCUCUGGCAAGACCUAUUUAAAGCGGAGACCAGAGAAUGGGAGUUCUAGAACGGUGAGAAUAGACUCCCCACCCACUCGUUCACAACUUCCUGUGUGCACUGCGUGGGGCUUAGCUGAGGCCCCCCAGCCUGCACACAUCGCGGUGGCCUUGCCUGGUCUGGGAGGCAUUUUGGAGAAAGUAUCAAGACUGGAGGGGAGAACCGGAGGCCCCAGGGGAACUAGGGAAGCUAGAUUCUCACGGCUCCAGGCUGAACCACACCACAGUUUUAGAAGGUCAGAGAAGAAGGUGGCAGUGGCUGGGGUUGGCCAGCCGCCAACCACUCGGGCACGCAUGGACCCCAGCCAGCAGGUGGUCAGACCUGCCCAGAAGCGCAGCCCGCUGCUGACCCGCUGAUCACAACUCGCAUUUACCCAAAUGCACAGGAGAUCUGAAUGUACAUUCGAGACUGAGAAGCUCCUCUCAUCACGGAGUGGCAGUUAGUAACUGCGUGGUCAUGGGCAUUAGCUGGGCUAAUUGUGGUGACCAUUUCCCGGCACGCACAGACCGAAUCCUGACGUCAUACGCUUGCAGCCAAUAUACGGUUAUGUCAAUUUUACCCCAAAUGAAGGGAAAGGAGGACACACCGAACAUCGCGGCUGUGCA
This 1263-nucleotide long non-coding RNA is filed under the name Ursus maritimus (polar bear). RNAcentral describes it as "lncRNA (ENSUMAG00000017850.1)". The record is from RNAcentral. Lineage: Eukaryota; Metazoa; Chordata; Mammalia; Carnivora; Ursidae.